This 899-nucleotide long non-coding RNA is filed under the name Callithrix jacchus (white-tufted-ear marmoset). Its description in RNAcentral is "lncRNA (ENSCJAG00000070193.1)". Lineage: Eukaryota; Metazoa; Chordata; Mammalia; Primates; Cebidae. The record is from RNAcentral.
CGGAGCCGGCACGGGCCGAGGGGAGAGAGUCUGCGGCUGAGAUGCAUGGCAAGGGCUCUCCAGUUCCUGCGGUUCUGGACUGCAGAGGAGGCGGGCACAGGCCGUAAGAUGAGCGAGGACAUGGCCUGAGCUGGUAGGAGGGGUCCUGCUGGGAUCUCUGGCACAAACUUGGCUUAAACAAAAGUAUACACAUUCAUUUUGGAAACUGAACUGUUUAUUAUAGAAAUAAAAUAUUUUAAGAUUCUUUGAGGGGAAAGGGACAGGAGACCCUGGGAAGAGCAGGUGCCUCCCCUCCAGGCAGCCCACCAGGCCUGCUCCCUUUCUGCUGGCCUCUGAGGCCUCACGUGUGGGGACUGGCAUGAGGCCCACUGGGGAGGAGAGAAACCUUGGAGCUCGGAGGAAGGAAACUGCGAUGAAGCCUGAGUCCCUGUCCCGAAGGGGUCCUGACACACUGGGCCCCGCCCUGAGUCCAUGACUGGCCUCCCUUUGUGAGGAGAGCAGGCCCUGCAUCAUCAGGCCACCAGACUCCUUCCAGCCUCCUGCACAUUUCAGCUGGGCACUGCGGUAGCUGCAUGGAGACCCACAGAACCCACCCUCAGAACAGCGCCUGAUGAGAAGGCCGGGCCUGCAUUCCUCCACACCAAGCCAGGCGCCCGGAAGGAGGCAAACAGCAGCAUUGCCUAUUCAUUGGCCGAUGUCUUCCUUGGUUCUCUUCCUUGGUGAAAACCGCUUUUACAGCAUCUGGUGCCAGAUCUUUGAGAACCGCCACCCCAGCCCGUACCUCUGAGGCAAACCACACUGAGCAGCGGACUGCAGGCCUGCGAGCAAGGCUACAGGAGAAAUUUUAAACGCUGCAGAACUUCCACCAAGUAAGUCACGUGUGUCAUCAUGUGAUCAUC